Molecule: ribosomal RNA, 253 nt
Filed under: uncultured bacterium
Lineage: Bacteria
Description: partial 16S ribosomal RNA
Rfam family: Bacterial small subunit ribosomal RNA
Source: RNAcentral
GACGUAGGGGGCCAGCGUUGUUCGGAAUUACUGGGUGUAAAGGGCUCGUAGGUGGCCAACUAAGUCAGACGUGAAAUCCCCAGGCUCAACUUGGGAACUGCGUCUGAUACUGGAUGGCUUGAAUUCGGGAGAGGGAUGCAGAAUUCCAGGUGUAGCGGUGAAAUGCGUAGAUAUCUGGAGGAAUACCGGUGGCGAAGGCGGGUCUCUGGGCAGUAACUGACGCUGAGGAGCGAAAGCGUGGGGAGCGAACAGG